Long non-coding RNA from Monodelphis domestica (gray short-tailed opossum), 1768 nucleotides. The record is from Ensembl. NCBI's taxonomy places the organism in Eukaryota, Metazoa, Chordata, Mammalia, Didelphimorphia, Didelphidae.
GUUGCUUAACCCUAUUUGCCUCAGUUUCCUCAUAUGUAAAAUGACAAACUACUCCAGUAUAUUUGCCAAGGAAUCCCCAUAAAUGCUCAGAAAGAGUUGGAUGUGACUAAUGAUUGAAUAACAAAGGAACAAUAAACCCAGAUAGUUCUCCACACUGCAGUAGAAUUCAGCUCUUUUAUAACACAUUUCCACCAGCUGCAGAGCCAAUCAAGUUUCAGUCAACUGUCAAUCCUUGUGGGCUUUCUGUUUUCUACUCUUGGAAGCAGCUUCUCUUCUGCAUUUGUCUACACCCAUCUUCCUCUUUUACUUUACAGCUCUUCUUCUGAUGGCUUCUUCCUACAGUUUUUAAUGUCUUACUUAAUGUGCUUCCUUAUAAGCAGUGAUCCAUCUCUUACUUUAUUGUGUAAAACUCACCAAUUCUAACUUUCUAAAAAGGUACAAUCCCAGAAGUCUUUACAUAAGCUUCCUGAAAUCUCCAAACAAUUAUUUGAUUUAUGAAUUCUAAGUUAUAACCUUCAAAAAUAUAAAAACUAAUUAGGAAGUGUGAAUUUUAGAUUUACUCCACCCUGUUUAGUCUUUAGAAUUUUAGCAACCAGGAAUGUAUACAACCCCACUUAAGGAUUAAGUAUGGGGGAGGAAGGUCUAUGACCCACAUGUGCUAGCAGGUGACAAAUCAGAAACAACUGACUGACUCCGGGUCAUCCAAAGCCAAGUUUAAGCCACCUUUGGUACAUGUAAGACACAGGAAGUGAUGUAAAGAACUGCCUUUAUGUUUCCUGUCACUUAUUGUGAGAGGGACCUUGGUGGUGGAACUCGACCAUGGAGGAGCUCCAGCAAGAGACCUGAGACUACUUCCCUUAGACUGUCAUGUGUUCUUCCUGGAAAAAACAGAGAGAGAAAAACAGAAGGGAAAAGGAAGAAGAUGACACUGGGCCAUAUAGCAACUAGGAAAAGAAAGAGAAGAAGGAGACCAUCUCUGGUCAGGUACUUCCUUCAGAUAGGUUACUGUAAUCUUAACUUCCAGCCUGCCAGAUAAAGGUUAUCCUGGGGGAGCCUUUGAUCUUCAUUAAACCAUAUCUUCCCUAAUUGAUGCUACCUUUCUAUCUAAUCCCAUCUUCUACACUAAAUUCUCUAUGCUGCCAAGUCACUCUCAUCCCAAACUUUUCAACUUCCAAACUUUAAACAUUUCCUACCCUCCCACUCCCAACUAUCUCAUUAGUUCCUGGAAAUCUGCAUGAGCCCUUGACAAAAUUUUAUAUCUAACUUGUACAUAUAAGUGUUAGAAACUUUGAGGCCACAAAGCAUGUCAAGACAGUACUCCUUUCCUCAGAAGUCUUACAAUUCAGCAAGGAAGACUAUAUAUAUAUGUACAUGCAAAACACUUAAAAAGCAUCACAUGAAAUUCUAUGAUAAAUGGCAAAAUGAGAUGUAAGUAUGGUAUACGGAUGGAAAGACUCCUCACCUGUGAGCAGGGAGACCUGGAUUUAAGACUCAGUACAUUACCCAGGGGCUUACUUACACUCUCUGGACCUCAUCAAAUGACCUAGUUAGAUUUUCUAAGACUACACUAGAUAAGAUCUCUUUUUGUUGUAGUAAUUUUAUGAUCCUAUGAGAGACAGGAAAAGUGAGUGCCAAGACAAUACACUAUAAAUAAGUCACUGAAUGUAUUGUCAAAUAUCCAAGCCUAUUUCCAUAAUAGCCAUAUUGUGAAGGAAUUCACAGACCAAAACCAAAUAAACAAGCAAGAAAAAUAAGGAAGUGAAGGGAA